RNAcentral lists this transfer RNA (69 nucleotides) under Pseudolaubuca sinensis. RNAcentral's name for it is "tRNA-His". It matches the Rfam family "tRNA". From Rfam's summary of the family: Transfer RNA (tRNA) molecules are approximately 80 nucleotides in length. Their secondary structure includes four short double-helical elements and three loops (D, anti-codon, and T loops). RNAcentral also lists the same sequence under 6 other names. The record is from RNAcentral. Lineage: Eukaryota; Metazoa; Chordata; Actinopteri; Cypriniformes; Xenocyprididae.
GUAAGUAUAGUUUAACCAAAAUAUUAGAUUGUGAUUCUAAAGACAGGAGUUAAAACCCCCUUACUCACC